Molecule: long non-coding RNA, 564 nt
Filed under: Callithrix jacchus (white-tufted-ear marmoset)
Lineage: Eukaryota; Metazoa; Chordata; Mammalia; Primates; Cebidae
Description: lncRNA (ENSCJAG00000062889.2)
Source: RNAcentral
AAAUAACAUUAAGUGGAUCCCUAGACCUGUUGGGAAUUGAAUCACCAAUAGUCUGACCUAUAGGUAAAUUUCUCAUCCAGGUAUAAAAUUGCUGUUCAAAUUGUUGCACUAAUGGUACUUCCUCGCAUGCAGUCUGUUGGAGAGCUAGUGAGAAAUAAGGCUGAAAAUAAUUAAAAGUCAGAACUUGAAGGAUCUUACUAAUCCACAAAACCUACUGCCAGGCCUGGAAAGCUAGAAGCUGGAAAAGGGAAGUGAGAGUUCAUUUUGUAUUCUGGAUGUUGGCUAAGUACCAAGUUGUUCAGGAAAAAUAUCUCACAACACUUCCAAUCAGAAUUCAGAGGAAAUGUCACCUACGUAAACUGCAACUUGACCAACAGUUACUUACAGAGAACCAGUUUAAGGUAAGAGUUCAAUGGGUGAUUUAAUAUCAAUUUGUAUCCUGGCUCUGUAUUUGUCCUAGACCCUGGAUAGAAGCCAUGUUAUUAUACUUUCCAGUCUAGUGCCCACAAACAAUUUAGAAAACAUGUCCUGGACUGUUAAAUUAUGGGCUUCUAGAGAGGAGGC